Molecule: long non-coding RNA, 1138 nt
Organism: Urocitellus parryii (Arctic ground squirrel)
Lineage: Eukaryota; Metazoa; Chordata; Mammalia; Rodentia; Sciuridae
Source: RefSeq, a predicted model, not a curated record
GCGCGUGCCCGGGAGAUUGUGAAGUGUGGAGUGACCCUUGAUGAUGCCAACCUGCGUGUGCGCCGGAAGUCCGCUUCCCCUCCCAGAUAAGGGCCAGGGAAGGACACGGCUCGCGGACACCCCAGGAGGAGGGGGGAAGACUGGGACCUCGUCGGCAGCGUGGGUCGUCCCGGCAGCCACCGUCAGUGCGGUUGCCCCAGGACUGGCUCUGCGGAGGUCAGCAGUACUCGAGGGGCAGUUUUUCCUUGGUGAGAUGAUGCUCCUGCCUAGGGAAGCCCUCUUUUCCCCCAGGAGGCGACUGCCGACACUUAAGAGGGCAUCCAUCCUCUUAAGCAUGCUGUCGCUUGGGGUGGUUUCAGUCCCUUGUCAAAGAUGCUGACCAACCAGGUCAGUAGUUCCUGGAGUCCACGGUAACUGAAGAAGAAGGUGGCUCAGAAGAGAGAGAAAAGGCAAAUGGAGUUGGUUAGGUCAGUAACUGGACCCUCUACACUCUGGAGAGAUUUGAGCAGUUUGUUAAAGUGCUGAACAUAGACCUCUCCUGUAACCUAGCCAUUCCACACCUGCUCUUUGCCCAACAGGAAAGAGUAUGUGCCCUUAAAAAGAGCUGUGCUAAUGGCCCAAACUGGAAAUGAUCCACAUGUCCCUCAAUAGGUCAGUCAGUAAACCAAUCGUGAUAGAUCCAUGGAAUGAAAUAUCUCCCAGGGAUAAAAAAGCGCAAGUUUGAUAUAUCCAACAGCAUGUAUAAUCCCAUGAACAUGCUAAGUGGAAGGUAUCAGUAUAGAAAAUACAAACGAUAUGACAGAAAGUAUAUGACCAGUGGUUGCUGGGGAAUGGAUGGGUCUGGGAGGGAAGGAAGGGUUACAAAGAGACACAGGAAAUUUUGCAGGGGUUUGGAUAUUAUCUUGAUUGAGGUGAUGAUUUCACUUGUAUCUACAUUGUCAAGUUUGUCAAAUUAGAUGAACUUGUAAUUACUCUUAUGUCAAUCAUAUGUCAAUGUAAAGUUCUUUAAAACUUCCAUUCUUACUUCCUUAGGGGAAAGGUCUCAAGACAAUUCUAAGUGCGAAUCCUUCAAAACUUUCCCCUAGAGAAUGUAUAUCUGUAUGUAAUAGGAAUUACAUUAUACAUGUUGUUAAAUACA